Molecule: long non-coding RNA, 649 nt
Filed under: Dromaius novaehollandiae (emu)
Lineage: Eukaryota; Metazoa; Chordata; Aves; Casuariiformes; Dromaiidae
Description: lncRNA (ENSDNVG00000014749.1)
Source: RNAcentral
GAGAAGAUUCUCCGGAUAUUUCUCUCCUGGCACUGUGCACCUUGUACAGGAGGUGUCUGAGGAGGCGUGAGAAGCUGCAGACAUCCCAACAGAAAAUAAAAGAAGCUUCAGGACCCUGCAAAUGAUAAAGCUGGAGCGUUCCCCAAAUAUUCCUUGGGACUGCUGCUGCUGUUUGGCAGCACUUCCUCACUUAAGCUGACGAGUUAACUGCCUUUGCAAGAAGGGUGUUGGAGGAUUCUUCCAGGGGAUGCUUGAGAGCAGAAACCCACUACGAGGACUCCCUUCCUCUCUGUGCCAGCGUCUCAUCCCACAGCGUACAGGGAGAACGCAGAAGCUACCAGGAUCCAUGAAGUUCCUCCUUGAGCAUCAUUUCAAAUUUUCAGUGCAUUUAGAAGGUCUUCAAAAGGGUAUUUUCGGCAUUGCUCGUCUGACUUUGGAAUACAAGGAGUGUCGGCUCUGGUGUCUGCUGGCUUCAGCGAGGGCUGGUGGGCGUCCGGGCAGCCCGUUACUGUCUGGGUUCCAGACRGUCAUGAAGAUCCUGGGUAUGACCUGUGGAUGCUGUCACUGAAAAAGGGAAAACUUGGGGGGACCUUCCUCCAACCUGAUACCAAGGAAGAGGAGAGGCUGGCUUGUUUCAGCAGGAGAGGAG